RNAcentral lists this ribosomal RNA (253 nucleotides) under uncultured bacterium. Its description in RNAcentral is "partial 16S ribosomal RNA". It matches the Rfam family "Bacterial small subunit ribosomal RNA", at positions 524 to 776 of the family's 1533-position model. The record is from RNAcentral.
UACGUAGGUGGCAAGCGUUGUCCGGAUUUACUGGGUGUAAAGGGCGUGUAGCCGGGCUUACAAGUCAGAUGUGAAAUCCGGGGGCUCAACCCCCGAACUGCAUUUGAAACUGUAGGUCUUGAGUAUCGGAGAGGCAGGCGGAAUUCCUAGUGUAGCGGUAAAAUGCGUAGAUAUUAGGAGGAACACCAGUGGCGAAGGCGGCCUGCUGGACGACAACUGACGGUGAGGCGCGAAAGCGUGGGGAGCAAACAGG